AGUCGUAACAAGGUUUUUGCAUAUGAACCURCAGAAUGAUCAUU
Molecule: ribosomal RNA, 44 nt
Filed under: Leucosceptrum canum
Lineage: Eukaryota; Viridiplantae; Streptophyta; Magnoliopsida; Lamiales; Lamiaceae
Description: partial 18S ribosomal RNA
Source: RNAcentral